Molecule: ribosomal RNA, 301 nt
Filed under: uncultured bacterium
Lineage: Bacteria
Description: partial 16S ribosomal RNA
Rfam family: Bacterial small subunit ribosomal RNA
Source: RNAcentral
CAGCAGCCGCGGGAAUACGUAGGGUGCAAGCGUUACUCGGAAUUACUGGGCGUAAAGCGUGCGUAGGUGGUGGUUUAAGUCCGUUGUGAAAGCCCUGGGCUCAACCUGGGAAUUGCAGUGGAUACUGGAUCACUAGAGUGUGGUAGAGGAUAGUGGAAUUUCCGGUGUAGCAGUGAAAUGCGUAGAGAUCGGAAGGAACAUCAGUGGCGAAGGCGGCCAUCUGGGACAACACUGACGCUGAGGCACGAAAGCGUGGGGAGCAAACAGGAUUAGAUACCCGAGUAGUCCCUGUCUCUUAUAC